AUUGAACGCUGGCGGCAGGCCUAACACAUGCAAGUCGAGCGGAUGAAGGGAGCUUGCUCCUGGAUUCAGCGGCGGACGGGUGAGUAAUGCCUAGGAAUCUGCCUGGUAGUGGGGGAUAACGUCCGGAAACGGGCGCUAAUACCGCAUACGUCCUGAGGGAGAAAGGGGGGGAUCUUCGGACCUCACGCUAUCAGAUGAGCCUAGGUCGGAUUAGCUAGUUGGUGGGGUAAAGGCCUACCAAGGCGACGAUCCGUAACUGGUCUGAGAGGAUGAUCAGUCACACUGGAACUGAGACACGGUCCAGACUCCUACGGGAGGCAGCAAUGGGGAAUAUUGGACAAUGGGCGAAAGCCUGAUCCAGCCAUGCCGCGUGUGUGAAGAAGGUCUUCGGAUUGUAAAGCACUUUAAGUUGGGAGGAAGGGCAGUAAGUUAAUACCUUGCUGUUUUGACGUUACCAACAGAAUAAGCACCGGCUAACUUCGUG
RNAcentral lists this ribosomal RNA (484 nucleotides) under uncultured bacterium. RNAcentral describes it as "partial 16S ribosomal RNA". It matches the Rfam family "Bacterial small subunit ribosomal RNA", at positions 30 to 507 of the family's 1533-position model. The record is from RNAcentral.